Molecule: long non-coding RNA, 768 nt
Organism: Stegostoma tigrinum
Lineage: Eukaryota; Metazoa; Chordata; Chondrichthyes; Orectolobiformes; Stegostomatidae
Exons: 3
Source: RefSeq, a predicted model, not a curated record
AUUGAUUUGUCAGCACUUUGCUACCAGCUAUUCUGCGGUCUCUGUAGUUGCACUAUUUAGAAGCUCCACGACAGGCAAGGGAAGCAACAAGACAGGCACUAGGGGAUUUCAAAAGGUAAGAAAUACUGGUACGUGUGACGUAGCAACCGUCAACCAGGAAGCAGUGCCAACAGAUAGAAAAGGAAGACAAAAAGUAAGAAAUAAAAGAGUGCCAAAAGCAGAAGAUGGUAUGCCCUCAGAUGCAAGAGGCUCUAUGCAAGAAAAUGGAUAUAAUCUAUAAUCUGGAAAUCUGUUUGGGCGGCAAUUCAUCUUGCAAUGGGCUACAGAUGAAAGAAGCAGCAUUCUCUGUGAAUAAUUACAUCCACUGUCUACCCUAGUCAUGGCUGAUUAUUUCUGUUCCCCAAAGUCCUGCUUCAGCAUUCCAUGGUGCCAGGAGCGAUGUCAGUCCCGGUUUCAUUCUGCACUUUUCAGUGUCUCCCAAAUGUAGCCUGAAGGGUGACUUUGGAUGACAUUGGCUGGCAUGUUGUUGGGAGAUGCAUACAAACGUAGAUUGUCAAUAAAAUCAAACACAGAGCAUGAAAGUGCACAGUAAAAUAAUAAAAUAUUGAUUGAUUUGUUCGAACUGCAUCAUCGUCUGGCUGAAACCUCCCCUUUGAAAGACAAGACAAGCAAUUCUGCUGGAGCUGUUCUCUGAGUGAAUUGGUGGCACUCAUUUCAGCUGGAAACUUUAUUUUUGUAACUCUUACUUUUAGUAAUUUGCUCUGUGCU